GCAUUAAUGGGGUAGUGGUAACCUGGGUCGUUGCCAUUCGAGUACUGAAUCGACCCGCCGGGGGUUCGAUUCCCUCUUAAUGCA
Molecule: transfer RNA, 84 nt
Filed under: Coprinellus micaceus
Lineage: Eukaryota; Fungi; Basidiomycota; Agaricomycetes; Agaricales; Psathyrellaceae
Rfam family: tRNA
About the family: Transfer RNA (tRNA) molecules are approximately 80 nucleotides in length. Their secondary structure includes four short double-helical elements and three loops (D, anti-codon, and T loops). Further hydrogen bonds mediate the characteristic L-shaped molecular structure. tRNAs have two regions of fundamental functional importance: the anti-codon, which is responsible for specific mRNA codon recognition, and the 3' end, to which the tRNAs corresponding amino acid is attached (by aminoacyl-tRNA synthetases). tRNAs cope with the degeneracy of the genetic code in two manners: having more than one tRNA (with a specific anti-codon) for a particular amino acid; and 'wobble' base-pairing, i.e. permitting non-standard base-pairing at the 3rd anti-codon position.
Source: Rfam by way of RNAcentral